AGCCCUGAUCCCUGUGCAGCUGCUCUGGGUGAACCUGGUGACAGACGGCCUACCUGCCACAGCCCUGGGCUUCAACCCACCAGACUUGGACAUAAUGGAGAAGCGGCCCCGGAACCCUCGCGAGGCCCUCAUCAGUGGCUGGCUCUUCUUUCGAUAUCUGGCUAUUGGAGCGUCUCGGAAAACCAGUCGCUGCUGCGGAUGCCACCCUGGCUGAACCCCUGGCUGUUGGCGGCCGUGGCCAUGUCUAUGGCCCUGCACUUCCUCAUUCUGCUUGUGCCACCUCUGCCGGUGAGUCACCACCCUGCCCGGCACCCCUUCUCCAGCUCCUGGGGUGACAGGGUCCUAAUCCUCUGACCUGGGCCUUUUGGGGCCCCUCUGGGGUGGCAACAGCCUGGGAGCUGUGGCGGGGGAGGUCUGAUGGUGCUGGCACCCUGGCCAGCCACUGUCCUCCAGAUGUGCCCCCCACUUCGGGAACCCCCUCCCGAGACCUGGGCAGCGAAAGAGGUGGGGGAAUCUCUCGAGGCUGGGCCAAGGCUGGGGAAGGACGAUGCCCUUUCCUCUCCGAGUUCCCCGCAGGGAGAGGGCGCUGGUCCUGUGGGAGAGGGGAGGGGAGGGCACCUGGGGUGGAGGGAACAGAUCUGGGGGGGACCUUAGAUGUGCUCUGGAGGAGUCCGCCGUAGCCUGGGUGUAGGAAGCGGUGGACUUGGGGGGCUCUGGACACUGCUUCCGUUAGCUCCCUCCCCCUUCCUCCCUGUCCAGCUCAUCUUCCAGGUGACCCCCCUGAGUGGACGCCAGUGGGUGGUCGUGCUCCAGAUCUCUCUGCCUGUCAUCCUGCUUGAUGAGGCCCUCAAGUACCUGUCCCGGAAGCACGUGGACGAAAAGGGCCGGCAGUGAGUGCCGGGAGCAGAGAGGGGUCUCCAGGGCGUACCUCCAAGUGACAGUGCCCGUGCACCUGCCCCACCCCACGCCGCCACCCGCUUGCCGCUUGCUCACUGGGCCCUGCUGAGGCCCCAACGGCCGCCCCCAGGCCCCAAACCCGGGUCUCUCGCCGACUCCGUCUGCCUGGGGCUCCAGGAGUCCUGUGUCUGGGGCUCUCCUGGGAAGUUCAUCCCGGAAGCUCUGGCCCGGGAGCUGCAGCCUGGGAGGGGCUGCGCAGAAGCCGGAGCAGAGCCGGAGGUGCCGAGGCCUCAUCCCCAGACCUACAAGCACAUGCUGGAGCCGCUGCCUCUUGCUUGGAGGCUGGGCAUUUACUUGUGACCACGCCUCUGCACUGACGGACGACUCUCUCUCCCAGGGCCUGGUCUGCGGCCGCUCGGCCCCUGGUGGAGGGGGGACAUCUGGGCCCAGCUGUGCGCUUCCGCAGACUCUGCUCACGAGGGCUGGGGCCUGUUGCUGUGUGUAUGUGCAGGGGGUUGAAGGCCCAGAAAGAGGGACACAGGUGUCGAGGCCGGGGGCUGAGCAAGGACCUGCUCUCCUGGAGCCAGCCUGCCUGCCCGCCUCCGCCCGGCGCACCCCCAGACUCAGGUCUCUCUGUUCCAAGCAAACCAAACGUGCUGUCUCGGGGUUGCGCUGCCUGUUCUGCCAGGAGGAGCAUGGAUUUGCCUUCUGUGUCCCUGGUGCCUGAGACCCCGGAUGUCCUCGAGUCCCUGACUGACUGCUGUGCCCUGCCCCCCGACCCAGUGCACCAGGUCUGCACGGCCGGGGGCCUCUGAGUCCCCUGGACUCUUGGCCUUACUCUUUGCCCCUGACCCUACACACCCGUGAGCCGAAAGAAUGUCACUAAAAAUGGCUAGUUCCCCAAGGGCGCUGCCUCUCCCGCCCUCCCCCUGUGGUGACACGGGUGUGCGUGCGCGGAGAUCACGUCCGAUGCUGGGAAAGAGCGUUUGAGGGACAGAAACGUGCUCUUCACUCAGCUUUUGCCCCUUUGGCAAAAAUGAGUGCUGCACGGAAGAAAGCAAGGGAGGGGAACAGGGGCGUGUGUCGCCCUCUUGGGAAGUGUACGACGUGGUGACUGCGUGCAAAUCAGGACUCACAUCUCUGUUCUGGUCCCCAGAACGAGAAGCCCCCUCAGCCUGCCUUGCAGACAGAUGGGCUUCACGUCCUGUGCCCCCUCCCCGCUCCUUCCACCCUCCCCUCUCUUGAAAGUGAAAGAAGCAGAGCCUCUCCCGGUGCCCCAGAGGCCUGCGGGGCCGGGGCCUUGUACCCGCCUGCUGACAGGCCGUCUGGUAGAGAAAUAAAGGUUGAGUG
RNAcentral lists this long non-coding RNA (2247 nucleotides) under Sus scrofa (pig). RNAcentral's name for it is "lncRNA (ENSSSCG00065044550.1)". Lineage: Eukaryota; Metazoa; Chordata; Mammalia; Artiodactyla; Suidae. The record is from RNAcentral.